This 2992-nucleotide ribosomal RNA is filed under the name Salmonella enterica subsp. enterica. RNAcentral describes it as "23S ribosomal RNA". It matches the Rfam family "Bacterial large subunit ribosomal RNA". The record is from RNAcentral. Lineage: Bacteria; Pseudomonadati; Pseudomonadota; Gammaproteobacteria; Enterobacterales; Enterobacteriaceae.
GGUUAAGCGACUAAGCGUACACGGUGGAUGCCCUGGCAGUCAGAGGCGAUGAAGGACGUGCUAAUCUGCGAUAAGCGCCGGUAAGGUGAUAUGAACCGUUAUAACCGGCGAUUUCCGAAUGGGGAAACCCAGUGUGAUUCGUCACACUAUCAUUAACUGAAUCCAUAGGUUAAUGAGGCGAACCGGGGGAACUGAAACAUCUAAGUACCCCGAGGAAAAGAAAUCAACCGAGAUUCCCCCAGUAGCGGCGAGCGAACGGGGAGGAGCCCAGAGCCUGAAUCAGCAUGUGUGUUAGUGGAAGCGUCUGGAAAGGCGCGCGAUACAGGGUGACAGCCCCGUACACAAAAGCGCAUGUGCUGUGAGCUCGAUGAGUAGGGCGGGACACGUGGUAUCCUGUCUGAAUAUGGGGGGACCAUCCUCCAAGGCUAAAUACUCCUGACUGACCGAUAGUGAACCAGUACCGUGAGGGAAAGGCGAAAAGAACCCCGGCGAGGGGAGUGAAAAAGAACCUGAAACCGUGUACGUACAAGCAGUGGGAGCACAGGUUUACCUGUGUGACUGCGUACCUUUUGUAUAAUGGGUCAGCGACUUAUAUUCUGUAGCAAGGUUAACCGAAUAGGGGAGCCGGAGGGAAACCGAGUCUUAAUUGGGCGUUAAGUUGCAGGGUAUAGACCCGAAACCCGGUGAUCUAGCCAUGGGCAGGUUGAAGGUUGGGUAACACUAACUGGAGGACCGAACCGACUAAUGUUGAAAAAUUAGCGGAUGACCUGUGGCUGGGGGUGAAAGGCCAAUCAAACCGGGAGAUAGCUGGUUCUCCCCGAAAGCUAUUUAGGUAGCGCCUCGUGAAUUCAUCUCCGGGGGUAGAGCACUGUUUCGGCUAGGGGGCCAUCCCGGCUUACCAACCCGAUGCAAACUGCGAAUACCGGAGAAUGUUAUCACGGGAGACACACGGCGGGUGCUAACGUCCGUCGUGAAGAGGGAAACAACCCAGACCGCCAGCUAAGGUCCCAAAGUCAUGGUUAAGUGGGAAACGAUGUGGGAAGGCCCAGACAGCCAGGAUGUUGGCUUAGAAGCAGCCAUCAUUUAAAGAAAGCGUAAUAGCUCACUGGUCGAGUCGGCCUGCGCGGAAGAUGUAACGGGGCUAAACCAUGCACCGAAGCUGCGGCAGCGAACGUAUCACCCAAGACAACUUUGCGGAGUUGACGAUUGACGGAGCGAAGCGACGUCAAAGCGUUCAUUAAAGUCGAGUUGGCUUAGGGAUACGUUCGUUGGGUAGGGGAGCGUUCUGUAAGCCUGUGAAGGUGGCCUGUGAGGGUUGCUGGAGGUAUCAGAAGUGCGAAUGCUGACAUAAGUAACGAUAAAGCGGGUGAAAAGCCCGCUCGCCGGAAGACCAAGGGUUCCUGUCCAACGUUAAUCGGGGCAGGGUGAGUCGACCCCUAAGGCGAGGCCGAAAGGCGUAGUCGAUGGGAAACGGGUUAAUAUUCCCGUACUUGGUGUUACUGCGAAGGGGGGACGGAGAAGGCUAUGUUGGCCGGGCGACGGUUGUCCCGGUUUAAGCGUGUAGGUGUGUGUUCCAGGUAAAUCCGGUUCACUUUAACACUGAGGCGUGACGACGAGGCACUACGGUGCUGAAGCAACAAAUGCCCUGCUUCCAGGAAAAGCCUCUAAGCAUCAGGUAACAUCAAAUCGUACCCCAAACCGACACAGGUGGUCAGGUAGAGAAUACCAAGGCGCUUGAGAGAACUCGGGUGAAGGAACUAGGCAAAAUGGUGCCGUAACUUCGGGAGAAGGCACGCUGACACGUAGGUGAAGUGAUUUACUCAUGGAGCUGAAGUCAGUCGAAGAUACCAGCUGGCUGCAACUGUUUAUUAAAAACACAGCACUGUGCAAACACGAAAGUGGACGUAUACGGUGUGACGCCUGCCCGGUGCCGGAAGGUUAAUUGAUGGGGUCAGCGCAAGCGAAGCUCCUGAUCGAAGCCCCGGUAAACGGCGGCCGUAACUAUAACGGUCCUAAGGUAGCGAAAUUCCUUGUCGGGUAAGUUCCGACCUGCACGAAUGGCGUAAUGAUGGCCAGGCUGUCUCCACCCGAGACUCAGUGAAAUUGAACUCGCUGUGAAGAUGCAGUGUACCCGCGGCAAGACGGAAAGACCCCGUGAACCUUUACUAUAGCUUGACACUGAACAUUGAGCCUUGAUGUGUAGGAUAGGUGGGAGGCUUUGAAGCGUGGACGCCAGUCUGCGUGGAGCCGACCUUGAAAUACCACCCUUUAAUGUUUGAUGUUCUAACGUGGACCCGUAAUCCGGGUUGCGGACAGUGUCUGGUGGGUAGUUUGACUGGGGCGGUCUCCUCCUAAAGAGUAACGGAGGAGCACGAAGGUUGGCUAAUCCUGGUCGGACAUCAGGAGGUUAGUGCAAUGGCAUAAGCCAGCUUGACUGCGAGCGUGACGGCGCGAGCAGGUGCGAAAGCAGGUCAUAGUGAUCCGGUGGUUCUGAAUGGAAGGGCCAUCGCUCAACGGAUAAAAGGUACUCCGGGGAUAACAGGCUGAUACCGCCCAAGAGUUCAUAUCGACGGCGGUGUUUGGCACCUCGAUGUCGGCUCAUCACAUCCUGGGGCUGAAGUAGGUCCCAAGGGUAUGGCUGUUCGCCAUUUAAAGUGGUACGCGAGCUGGGUUUAGAACGUCGUGAGACAGUUCGGUCCCUAUCUGCCGUGGGCGCUGGAGAACUGAGGGGGGCUGCUCCUAGUACGAGAGGACCGGAGUGGACGCAUCACUGGUGUUCGGGUUGUCAUGCCAAUGGCACUGCCCGGUAGCUAAAUGCGGAAGAGAUAAGUGCUGAAAGCAUCUAAGCACGAAACUUGCCCCGAGAUGAGUUCUCCCUGAGACUUUAGGUCUCCUGAAGGAACGUUGAAGACGACGACGUUGAUAGGCCGGGUGUGUAAGCGCAGCGAUGCGUUGAGCUAACCGGUACUAAUGAACCGUGAGGCUUAACCUU